This 71-nucleotide transfer RNA is filed under the name Loxodonta africana (African savanna elephant). It matches the Rfam family "tRNA". Rfam says of the family: Transfer RNA (tRNA) molecules are approximately 80 nucleotides in length. Their secondary structure includes four short double-helical elements and three loops (D, anti-codon, and T loops). The record is from Rfam by way of RNAcentral. Lineage: Eukaryota; Metazoa; Chordata; Mammalia; Proboscidea; Elephantidae.
ACAGUUGUGGUUCAGUGGUAGAAUUCCCGCCUUCCAUGUGGGACACUUGGGUUUGAUUCCUGGUGAAUGGU